GCGAGAGUGGCGGAAUUGGCAGACGCGCAGGAUUUAGGUUCCUGUGCCGCAAGGCGUGGGGGUUCGAGUCCCCCCUCUCGCA
Molecule: transfer RNA, 82 nt
Filed under: Planctomycetota bacterium
Lineage: Bacteria; Pseudomonadati; Planctomycetota
Description: Planctomycetes bacterium (marine metagenome) tRNA-Leu
Rfam family: tRNA
About the family: Transfer RNA (tRNA) molecules are approximately 80 nucleotides in length. Their secondary structure includes four short double-helical elements and three loops (D, anti-codon, and T loops). Further hydrogen bonds mediate the characteristic L-shaped molecular structure. tRNAs have two regions of fundamental functional importance: the anti-codon, which is responsible for specific mRNA codon recognition, and the 3' end, to which the tRNAs corresponding amino acid is attached (by aminoacyl-tRNA synthetases). tRNAs cope with the degeneracy of the genetic code in two manners: having more than one tRNA (with a specific anti-codon) for a particular amino acid; and 'wobble' base-pairing, i.e. permitting non-standard base-pairing at the 3rd anti-codon position.
Source: RNAcentral